UGAACCUGAGAGUUUGAUCCUGGCUCAGAGCGAACGCUGGCGGCAUGCUUAACACAUGCAAGUCGCACGAACCUUUCGGGGUUAGUGGCGGACGGGUGAGUAACGCGUAGGAACCUAUCUGGAGGUGGGGGAUAACAUCGGGAAACUGGUGCUAAUAC
This 158-nucleotide ribosomal RNA is filed under the name Parasaccharibacter apium. Its description in RNAcentral is "partial 16S ribosomal RNA". It matches the Rfam family "Bacterial small subunit ribosomal RNA", at positions 1 to 169 of the family's 1533-position model. Lineage: Bacteria; Pseudomonadati; Pseudomonadota; Alphaproteobacteria; Acetobacterales; Acetobacteraceae. The record is from RNAcentral.